UUACGACCAUAUUACAUUGAAACACCAGGUCUCGUACGAUCACCAAGGUUAAGCAAUGUCGAAACUGGUCAAUACCUAGAUGGGUGACCGCUUGGGAAUACCAGGUGC
Molecule: non-coding RNA, 108 nt
Organism: Acanthosepion pharaonis
Lineage: Eukaryota; Metazoa; Mollusca; Cephalopoda; Sepiida; Sepiidae
Source: the annotation of a GenBank genome assembly